Molecule: ribosomal RNA, 460 nt
Filed under: uncultured bacterium
Lineage: Bacteria
Description: partial 16S ribosomal RNA
Rfam family: Bacterial small subunit ribosomal RNA
Source: RNAcentral
CCUACGGGGGACAGCAGUGAGGAAUAUUGGUCAAUGGACGAGAGUCUGAACCAGCCAAGUAGCGUGAAGGAUGACUGCCCUAUGGGUUGUAAACUUCUUUUAUAUGGGAAUAAAAUGUUCCACGUGUGGGAUUUUGUAUGUACCAUAUGAAUAAGGAUCGGCUAACUCCGUGCCAGCAGCCGCGGUAAUACGGAGGAUCCGAGCGUUAUCCGGAUUUAUUGGGUUUAAAGGGAGCGUAGGUGGAUUGUUAAGUCAGUUGUGAAAGUUUGCGGCUCAACCGUAAAAUUGCAGUUGAAACUGGCAGUCUUGAGUACAGUAGAGGUGGGCGGAAUGCGUGGUGUAGCGGUGAAAUGCUUAGACAUCACGAAGAACUCCGAUUGCGAAGGCAGUUCACUGGACUGCAACUGACACUGAGGCUCGAAAGUGUGGGUAUCAAACAGGAUUAGAUACCCGAGUAGUC